GAGUUUGAUCUUGGCUCAGAACGAACGCUGGCGGCAGGCCUAACACAUGCAAGUCGAACGCUCCAGCAAUGGAGAGUGGCAGACGGGUGAGUAACACGUGGGAACCUUCCCUAUGGUUCGGAAUAGCUCAGGGAAACUUGGGGUAAAUACCGGAUAAGCCCUUCGGGGGAAAGAUUUAUCGCCAUUGGAUGGGCCCGCGUCGGAUUAGCUAGUUGGUGAGGUAACGGCUCACCAAGGCGACGAUCCGUAGCUGGUCUGAGAGGAUGAUCAGCCACACUGGGACUGAGACACGGCCCAGACUCCUACGGGAGGCAGCAGUGGGGAAUAUUGGACAAUGGGCGCAAGCCUGAUCCAGCCAUGCCGCGUGAGUGACGAAGGUCUUCGGAUUGUAAAGCUCUUUUGGCGGGGACGAUAAUGACGGUACCCGCAGAAUAAGCCCCGGCUAAC
Molecule: ribosomal RNA, 447 nt
Filed under: uncultured Alphaproteobacteria bacterium
Lineage: Bacteria; Pseudomonadati; Pseudomonadota; Alphaproteobacteria
Description: bacterial SSU rRNA
Rfam family: Bacterial small subunit ribosomal RNA
Source: RNAcentral